UGGGGAAUAUUGCACAAUGGGCGCAAGCCUGAUGCAGCCAUGCCGCGUGUAUGAAGAAGGCCUUCGGGUUGUAAAGUACUUUCAGCGGGGAGGAAGGCGAUAAGGUUAAUAACCUUGUCGAUUGACGUUACCCGCAGAAGAAGCACCGGCUAACUCCGUGCCAGCAGCCGCGGUAAUACGGAGGGUGCAAGCGUUAAUCGGAAUUACUGGGCGUAAAGCGCACGCAGGCGGUGUGUCAAGUCGGAUGUGAAAUCCCCGGGCUCAACCUGGGAACUGCAUUCGAAACUGGCAGGCUAGAGUCUUGUAGAGGGGGGUAGAAUUCCAGGUGUAGCGGUGAAAUGCGUAGAGAUCUGGAGGAAUACCGGUGGCGAAGGCGGCCCCCUGGACAAAGACUGACGCUCAGGUGCGAAAGCGUGGGGAACAAACA
RNAcentral lists this ribosomal RNA (427 nucleotides) under uncultured bacterium. RNAcentral describes it as "partial 16S ribosomal RNA". It matches the Rfam family "Bacterial small subunit ribosomal RNA", at positions 355 to 774 of the family's 1533-position model. The record is from RNAcentral.